This 977-nucleotide non-coding RNA is filed under the name Hemiprocne comata. RNAcentral describes it as "12S ribosomal RNA". It matches the Rfam family "Bacterial small subunit ribosomal RNA". Lineage: Eukaryota; Metazoa; Chordata; Aves; Apodiformes; Apodidae. The record is from RNAcentral.
AAAAGACUUAGUCCUAACCUUACCGUUAGUUUUUGCUAGAUAUAUACAUGCGAGUAUCCGCGCCCCAGUGUAAAUGCCCCAAACCCCUUGUCAAGGUAUAAGGAGCAGGCAUCAGGCACACCUGCUAUAGCCGUAGCCCAAGACGCCUUGCUCAGCCACACCCCCACGGGUAAUCAGCAGUAAUUGACAUUAAGCAAUGAGUGUAAACUUGACUUAGCCAUAGCAACACCCAGGGUUGGUCAAUCUUGUGCCAGCCACCGCGGUCACACAAGAAACCCGAACUAACCGCAGAACGGCGUAAAGAGUGGCCCCAUGUUAUCACACCAACUCAGAUCAAAGUACAGCCAAGCUGUCAUAAGCCCAAGAUGUAUCUAAAGCCACCCUAAAUAUGAUCUCAGCCUCAUGAUUAAUUAACCGCCACGAAAGCUAGGACACAAACUGGGAUUAGAUACCCCACUAUGCCUAGCCUUAAAUCCUGAUACUUCCCCCACAUUAAAGUAUCCGCCCGAGAACUACGAGCACAAACGCUUAAAACUCUAAGGACUUGGCGGUGCCCCAAACCCACCUAGAGGAGCCUGUUCUAUAAUCGAUAACCCACGAUUAACCCAACCACUUCUUGCCAGAGCAGCCUACAUACCGCCGUCGCCAGUUCACCUUUUCUGAAGGAACAACAGUGAACACAAUAGCCCUACCCGCUAGUAAGACAGGUCAAGGUAUAGCUUAUGAAGCGGAAGAAAUGGGCUACAUUUUCUACGAUAGAAAACCCCACGGAAAGAGGUGUGAAACCACCUCUAGAAGGCGGAUUUAGCAGUAAAGCAGGAUAAUAAAGCCUCCUUUAAACUGGCCCUGGGGCACGUACAUACCGCCCGUCACCCUCCUCACAAGCUGCCGUACUUAGGAUAACUAACACCCCAACAAGCUAAAGAUGAGGUAAGUCGUAACAAGGUAAGUGUACCGGAAGGUGCACUUAGCAUACC